AUACGUAGGUGGCAAGCGUUGUCCGGAAUUAUUGGGCGUAAAGCGCGCGCAGGCGGUCCUUUAAGUCUGAUGUGAAAGCCCACGGCUCAACCGUGGAGGGUCAUUGGAAACUGGGGGACUUGAGUGCAGAAGAGGAAAGUGGAAUUCCAAGUGUAGCGGUGAAAUGCGUAGAGAUUUGGAGGAACACCAGUGGCGAAGGCGACUUUAUGGUCUGUAACUGACGCUGAGGCGCGAAAGCGUGGGGAGCAAACAGGAUUAGAUACCCUGGUAGUCCACGCCGUAAACGAUGAGUGCUAAGUGUUAGGGGGUUUCCGCCCCUUAGUGCUGCAGCUAACGCAUUAAGCGCUCCGCCUGGGGAGUACGGUCGCAAGACUGAAACUCAAAGGAAUUGACGGGG
Molecule: ribosomal RNA, 397 nt
Filed under: uncultured bacterium
Lineage: Bacteria
Description: partial 16S ribosomal RNA
Rfam family: Bacterial small subunit ribosomal RNA
Source: RNAcentral